UACAUGGGGUGCAAGCGUUGCUCGGAAUUAUUGGGCGUAAAGCGCACGUAGGCGGUUCGUUAAGUCGGAUGUGAAAGCCCUCGGCUCAACUGAGGAAGUGCACCCGAAACUGGCGAGCUCGAGUACGAAAGAGGAUCGCGGAAUUCCCGGUGUAGAGGUGAAAUUCGUAGAUAUCGGGAGGAACACCGGUGGCGAAGGCGGCGAUCUGGGUCGAUACUGACGCUGAGGAGCGAAAGCGUGGGGAGCGAACAGG
RNAcentral lists this ribosomal RNA (253 nucleotides) under uncultured bacterium. RNAcentral's name for it is "partial 16S ribosomal RNA". It matches the Rfam family "Bacterial small subunit ribosomal RNA", at positions 524 to 776 of the family's 1533-position model. The record is from RNAcentral.